CCUACGGGGGGCUGCAGUGGGGAAUUUUGGACAAUGGGGGCAACCCUGAUCCAGCCAUUCCGCGUGAGUGAAGAAGGCCUUCGGGUUGUAAAGCUCUUUUGUCCGGAGCGAAACGGGCGGCCCUAAUACGGUCGUCUACUGACGGUACCGGAAGAAUAAGCACCGGCUAACUACGUGCCGGCAGCCGCGGUAAUACGUACGGUGCGAGCGGGAAUCGAGCGUACUGGGCGUGUAGUGUGCGCCAGCUGUGAAAUCCCCGGGCUCAACCUGGGAAUGGCAUUUGGGACUGCAAGGCUGGAGUGUGGCAGAGGGGACUAGAAUUCCUGGUGUAGCAGUGAAAUGCGUAGAUAUCAGGAGGAAUACCGAUGGCGAAGGCAGGUCCCUGGGUUAACACUGACGCUCAUGCACGAAAGCGUGGGGAGCAAACAGGAUUAGAUACCCCUGUAGUC
This 449-nucleotide ribosomal RNA is filed under the name uncultured bacterium. Its description in RNAcentral is "partial 16S ribosomal RNA". It matches the Rfam family "Bacterial small subunit ribosomal RNA", at positions 338 to 795 of the family's 1533-position model. The record is from RNAcentral.